RNAcentral lists this ribosomal RNA (183 nucleotides) under uncultured bacterium. RNAcentral's name for it is "partial 16S ribosomal RNA". It matches the Rfam family "Bacterial small subunit ribosomal RNA", at positions 1318 to 1500 of the family's 1533-position model. The record is from RNAcentral.
ACAUGAAGCUGGAAUCGCUAGUAAUCGCGGAUCAGAAUGCCGCGGUGAAUACGUUCCCGGGUCUUGUACACACCGCCCGUCACACCAUGGGAGUCGGAAAUGCCCGAAGUCUGUGACCUAACCGUAAGGGAGGAGCAGCCGAAGGCAGGUCGGAUGACUGGGGUGAAGUCGUAACAAGGUAUC